This is a long non-coding RNA of Oncorhynchus nerka (sockeye salmon), 651 nucleotides long. RefSeq lists it as uncharacterized. Lineage: Eukaryota; Metazoa; Chordata; Actinopteri; Salmoniformes; Salmonidae. The record is from RefSeq and is a predicted model, not a curated record. The transcript is spliced from 2 exons.
CAUUGUUAGCAGCUAGCUAGCGUUAUAUAGACACCAUCUAUAAACCAAGUCCUGUAUCCAACGCGAAUGAAAGACUACCUGGGGACCUGAGCCCUAGGAUCAUGCCUCAAGACUACCUGGCAUGAUGACUCCUUGCUGUCCCCAAUCCACCUGGCCGUGCUGCUGCUCCAGUUUCAUCUGUUCUGCCUGUGGCUAUGGAACUCUGACCUGUUCACCGGACGUGCUAACUGUCCCAGACCUGCUGUUUUCAACUCUCUAGAGACAGCAGGAGCGGUAGAGAUACUCUUAAUAGUCGGCUAUGAAAAGCCAACUGACAUUUACUCCUGAGGUGCUGACUUGCUGCACCCUCGACAACUACUGUGAUUAUUAUUAUUUGACCAUGCUGGUCAUUUAUGAACAUUUGAACAUCUUGGCCAUGUUCUGUUAUAAUCUCCACCCGGCACAGGCAGAAGAGGACUGGCCACCCCUCAUAGCCUGGUUUCUCUCUGGGUUUCUUCCUAGGUUUUGGCCUUUCUAUGGAGUUUUUCCUAGCCACCGUGCUUCUACACCUGCAUUGCUUGCUGUUUGGGGUUUUAGGCUGGGUUUCUGUACAGUAAUUUGAGAUAUCAGCUGAUGUAAGAAGGGCUAUAUAAAUAAAUUUGAUUUGAUUCA